GACUGACUGCUAAGGAAGCUCUCAGGAGUCCAGGCCCAGAGCAAAGGAAGGAAAGAUGGGCUCGCCCAAGUCAGCCUUUUAAAUAAUUGAGUUGAUGGCAGCCACACUAAGUAAGCUCAAAUCAACGGUGGAGCAGACACGGCGAUCCUCGAGGAACUUGGUAGACUCAUGAAGCUUCCCUCAGACACGGCAGCAGGAGCGAGUGAGCAGUCGUGUGUCCCGGGAGAAGUGACAGGGCAAUGUCCGCCCUGCAGGUUGGAACUCUAUUCCAGGCACGGCCACUGACUGGGCAGGAAGCUGGACUUAGUGUGGUUUUGAGUCAAGGUGACUCCCUGUGCAUGGUUUCAGAUCUGCAAUCGUCCUGCCUCAGCCUAUCAAGUGCUGGGAUUGCUGUGUAUGUCACCAUGCCUGGCAGCCCCUCAGGUCUCCCUGGUCACUCGUGUGAGGCUGGCCCUUGGAGGAGGCUGAAUAAAGGUCACCAUUUAUUACCUUGGGAAUCAGGGCAUCUUCAAAUUCUGAUUCAUAAACUUCUCAGGAAGAGGCCAAAAGACGAUAUGUCCAAUCAGUGACAGAUGGAGAAGAGCCAGUAUGUCUAUGUCCCUUCAGGAGGCUCUCCAAAAUUCUGGCCCUGUUUUGUUUUGUUUUGUUUUGUUUUGUUUUGUUUUGUUUUGUUUUGUUUUUUGAGACAGGGUUUCUCUGUGUAGUCCUGGCUGUCCUGGAACUCACUCUGUAGACCAGGCUGGCCUCGAAUUCAGAAAUCCACCUGCCUCUGCCUCCCGAGUGCUGGGAUUAAAGGCAUGGGCCACCACUGCCCGGCAUGGCCCUUUUUAAACUUUUCAUCUUGAAACAAGAUUUUACUACGUGGAGGUUUGAAUAAGAACGUCUCCUUGCAGGCUUCUAUAUUUGAAUACUAUACAUUCACUAGGGAAUGGUACUCUUUGGCAGGGUUACAACAACUAGGAGGUGUGACCUCUUGUCACUGUGGGGAGGACACUGAAGUUUCAAAAUACCACGCUGGCUGGGUCUCUCUCUUUGCUUAUGGCUCAGGAUGUGGCUCGCACCUACUUCCCCAGCACCGUGCCUGCCAGCCGCCAUGCUCCCUGCCCCCCAACUCCCCAGCUGGAUGAUAGCUGACUAAGCCAGCCCCCAGCGAGAUGCUUUCCUUUAUAAGAGCUGCCUUGGUCAUGGUGUCACCUCACAGCAAUAGAAGGAUGACUACCACAAGGGGUUACCCCGGUCGGCCUUGAACUUGAGAUCCUCCUGCCUCAGUUUCCCAAAGAGUUGCAUUACAAACUUUUGCAACCCAGCCCAGCUUUAUACUGAUCAGAAGUCCUGUACCAUCUUUAGGCACAGAUGCCAGAGACCAGACAGGCGAGACUAGUGCCCAUCACCUAGUCCCUCAAAAACGAAACAUAUAGGUGCAUAAUAAAUAUACAUUUUAGUGGGGCUUCUUUAAAAACAAACAUAUAUAGGUACAUAGUGAAUAUACAUUUCAGCUAAGCUCCUUUUGUGUGAGGGGGUGUCUCAAGUAGUCCAAGCUGUCUACAUAGCCAUAGGUGACCUUCGACUUCUGGUCCUCCUGCCUCAGCCUCCCAAGUGAUGAAGUUAGAGGUAUCCAUCAUCACGUCUGGUUUUGUGCAGUGCUGGAAAUCACAACCCCAGCCUUGUGUGUGCACGCUAAGCAAGCAGCCUAUCAACCAGGCCGCACCUCCAGUCCCACGAAGCUUAAGAACAAGAAUGCCCGUGUCACGUGAUCCAAGGAGCAGAACAGCAGGGCCAACAGCAUUUCUAGAGAGAAUUCCCCAACAAGGUCUCAGUCAGGACCGGAUGCCGCCAGGGCUGAAGAACUCCGACAUCCCGGUGUUUCUAAGACAACCAUGUGGCUAUCAAGCAGUUUCCCACGGUCUCGGUAAGAAUGCCAGGACAGAGUGGCAUAGGAAGGGAGAGAGGCCUGAAGAGCGGGGAGCAGUGUGUGGCACUUAGCAAACCACAAGCACGCUGGAAAGUCAGAAAAACAAACCCUCAUUUCAUGGCUGAGGGAGGCAAAGGCACUCCGGUACCACAUAACCAUAUUUGCUCAGUCCCCAGAGGCAGCUCGCCUGCUUCCACCCCAGCUGAGAUGAGGCACAGAGGGCUGGGCCCGGUUCCUCCUGGACAUGAUCUGCCCAUCCUUGAGCUCUGCUGUCUCUGUGUGGCAGUCACUGCCUGGUCCCUGGGGCUCUGGAGAGUCUGUUUGUGAAUCAACACUAAUAACAUUAAAGCCUCUAUAACAUCCAUCAGUGGAUCCCACAGCUGUCCCCACCUCCCAAAUCACGGCUGCUAGCCCCAGGACAGUGGCAUGACUUCACACUGGGCUGGCAGAUCUACUAAGAUGCUUGCUUCCAUGGGAAAAAAAGGAAACAGGUUCUGGAGGGUUUUUUAUGUGCCUUUUUUAAGUGGGUGAAGAUGACAGGCCUCUUAAGUAAUUCGACAGAAUGCAAUCUCUAAAGGCCUGAGCUGGGCUGGGGCUCAGUUGGUCGAACACGUGGUAAGCAUGCAGGAGGCCCUGGCUUCACUGCCCAACACCAGGUAGGCAGAGAAGGGCACACCCGUAAUCAUAGUGGUUAGCGGCCAGAAGUUCAGUCAUUUUUAGCAGCACGGGGAAUUUGAGGACAUCAGAGCUACAUGGAACCCUAUCUCAAAAAACAAAAGAAAGAAAGAAAGAAAGAAAGAAAGAAAGGAAGGAAGGAAGGAAGGAAGGAAGGAAGGAAG
This 2751-nucleotide long non-coding RNA is filed under the name Mus musculus (house mouse). RNAcentral's name for it is "long non-coding RNA chr4:141652169-141654920". Lineage: Eukaryota; Metazoa; Chordata; Mammalia; Rodentia; Muridae. The record is from RNAcentral.